Molecule: ribosomal RNA, 800 nt
Filed under: uncultured cyanobacterium
Lineage: Bacteria; Bacillati; Cyanobacteriota
Description: bacterial SSU rRNA
Rfam family: Bacterial small subunit ribosomal RNA
Source: RNAcentral
GAUGAACGCUGGCGGUAUGCCUAACACAUGCAAGUCGUACGAGAGUUUUUUACUCAAGUGGCGGACGGGUGAGUAACACGUGAGAAUUUGCCUUUAGGAGAGGGAUAACAAUUGGAAACGAUUGCUAAUACCUCAUAUGCUUGAGAGUGAAAUAGAUUUAUCUGCCUAAAGAAAAGCUCGCGGCUGAUUAGCUAGUUGGUAAGGUAAUGGCUUACCAAGGCGGCGAUCAGUAUCUGGUUUGAGAGGACGAUCAGACACACUGGAACUGAGACACGGUCCAGACUCCUACGGGAGGCAGCAGUGGGGAAUUUUCCGCAAUGGGCGAAAGCCUGACGGAGCAAUACCGCGUGAGGGAAGACGGCCUAUGGGUUGUAAACCUCUUUUUUCAGGGAGGAAUCAAUGACGUGUACCUGAAGAAUAAGCAUCGGCUAACUCCGUGCCAGCAGCCGCGGUAAGACGGAGGAUGCAAGUGUUAUCCGGAAUCACUGGGCGUAAAGCGUCUGUAGGUGGUUUAAUAAGUCAACUGUUAAAUCUUGAGGCUCAACCUCAAAAUCGCAGUCGAAACUAUUAGACUAGAGUAUAGUAGGGGUAAAGGGAAUUUCCAGUGGAGCGGUGAAAUGCGUAGAGAUUGGAAAGAACACCAAUGGCGAAGGCACUUUACUGGGCUAUAACUGACACUCAGAGACGAAAGCUAGGGUAGCAAAUGGGAUUAGAUACCCCAGUAGUCCUAGCUGUAAACAAUGGAUACUAGAUGUUGAACAGAUCGACCUGCGCAGUAUUAAAGCUAACGCGUUAAGUAU